CCCUAGACAGGGGGAGUAACUAUUGGAAACGAUAGCUAAGACCGCAUAGGUACGGACACUGCAUGGUGACCGUAUUAAAAGUAGCCUCAAAGCACUGGUAGAGGAUGGACUUAUGGCGCAUUAGCUGGUUGGCGGGGUAACGGCCCACCAAGGCGACGAUGCGUAGCCGACCUGAGAGGGUGACCGGCCACACUGGGACUGAGACACGGCCCAGACUCCUACGGGAGGCAGCAUG
RNAcentral lists this ribosomal RNA (235 nucleotides) under uncultured bacterium. RNAcentral's name for it is "partial 16S ribosomal RNA". It matches the Rfam family "Bacterial small subunit ribosomal RNA", at positions 129 to 353 of the family's 1533-position model. The record is from RNAcentral.